RNAcentral lists this ribosomal RNA (524 nucleotides) under uncultured bacterium. RNAcentral's name for it is "bacterial SSU rRNA". It matches the Rfam family "Bacterial small subunit ribosomal RNA", at positions 371 to 888 of the family's 1533-position model. The record is from RNAcentral.
AUGGGCGCAAGCCUGAUCCAGCAAUGCCGCGUGCAGGAUGAAGGCCUUCGGGUUGUAAACUGCUUUUGUACGGAACGAAAAGCCCUGGGUUAAUACCCUGGGGUCAUGACGGUACCGUAAGAAUAAGCACCGGCUAACUACGUGCCAGCAGCCGCGGUAAUACGUAGGGUGCAAGCGUUAAUCGGAAUUACUGGGCGUAAAGCGUGCGCAGGCGGUUUUGUAAGACAGAGGUGAAAUCCCCGGGCUCAACCUGGGAACUGCCUUUGUGACUGCAAGGCUAGAGUACGGCAGAGGGGGAUGGAAUUCCGCGUGUAGCAGUGAAAUGCGUAGAUAUGCGGAGGAACACCGAUGGCGAAGGCAAUCCCCUGGGCCUGUACUGACGCUCAUGCACGAAAGCGUGGGGAGCAAACAGGAUUAGAUACCCUGGUAGUCCACGCCCUAAACGAUGUCAACUGGUUGUUGGGUCUUAACUGACUCAGUAACGAAGCUAACGCGUGAAGUUGACCGCCUGGGGAGUACGGCCG